UACGGAGGGGGCUAGCGUUGUUCGGAAUUACUGGGCGUAAAGCGCACGUAGGCGGCUUUGUAAGUUAGAGGUGAAAGCCCAGAGCUCAACUCUGGAACUGCCUUUAAGACUGCAUCGCUUGAAUCAUGGAGAGGUUAGUGGAAUUCCGAGUGUAGAGGUGAAAUUCGUAGAUAUUCGGAAGAACACCAGUGGCGAAGGCGACUAACUGGACAUGUAUUGACGCUGAGGUGCGAAAGCGUGGGGAGCAAACAGG
RNAcentral lists this ribosomal RNA (253 nucleotides) under uncultured bacterium. RNAcentral's name for it is "partial 16S ribosomal RNA". It matches the Rfam family "Bacterial small subunit ribosomal RNA", at positions 524 to 776 of the family's 1533-position model. The record is from RNAcentral.